AUCUGUCUGGUGCUGUGCAGGGCCAUUAAUGGAUGUUCCUUGUGUUCAAGACAGAGUUUUCUAUUUCCCUCAGGGUCACAUUGAAUUGUUGUCAGAACCUACAAAACAAGAU
Non-coding RNA from Arachis ipaensis, 112 nucleotides. The record is from RefSeq and is a predicted model, not a curated record. NCBI's taxonomy places the organism in Eukaryota, Viridiplantae, Streptophyta, Magnoliopsida, Fabales, Fabaceae.